UACGUAGGGACCAAGCGUUGUUCGGAUUUACUGGGCGUAAAGGGCGCGUAGGCGGCGUGGUAAGUCACUUGUGAAAUCUCUGAGCUUAACUCAGAACUGCCAAGUGAUACUGCUGUGCUCGAGUGUGGAAGGGGCAAUCGGAAUUCUUGGUGCAGCGGUGAAAUGCGUAGAUAUCAAGAGGAACACCUGAGGUGAAGACGGGUUGCUGGGCCAACACUGACGCUGAGGCGCGAAAGCCAGGGGAGCAAACGGG
RNAcentral lists this ribosomal RNA (253 nucleotides) under uncultured bacterium. RNAcentral's name for it is "partial 16S ribosomal RNA". It matches the Rfam family "Bacterial small subunit ribosomal RNA", at positions 524 to 776 of the family's 1533-position model. The record is from RNAcentral.